Aquila chrysaetos chrysaetos is the source of this 2477-nucleotide RNA transcript. It is a transcript of the gene named putative ubiquitin domain-containing protein TINCR, with no coding region annotated. NCBI's taxonomy places the organism in Eukaryota, Metazoa, Chordata, Aves, Accipitriformes, Accipitridae. The transcript has 4 exons. The record is from RefSeq and is a predicted model, not a curated record.
CUACAGUGCUCCAAGUAUUUGCCUCUUUCUUAUUCAGAUAAUGCCAAAGAGCACAGCCAAAGCCAUGAGAGAUGGGGAGUGUGACAAGGGCUGAAGGGAAGCAGAUGGAAGAGAGCUUGGCUGUGGAAAGGCAGCCCGGCCACCAGCGUUUGCGCGCCGUGUGGUCUCAGCUGCCAAAGGAGAAGCGUGGGUAAGACUGACUCAGCUCCUGAGGGCAGUGAAUCAGAGUGAAAUGCCCAUGAAAGGGUGACUUCUGCCUGGGUGAUGAAGCGAGAAGGAGCUGAGGUGGACUUUGCUUAGGGCCCUAGAUGGGGACAUUGGACAUCUGAGCCUCCUUCCAACUCUCUCACAGGAUUCCUCAAGCAGGAAGAGCUGGUUUGGUUGCUGUCCUUCAAAUGAUGGAUCUUAUCACAUGGGAAAAAGAAGGAAGAAAAAAAAAAAGGCAAACCACCUAGAAACAGCCACAGGUACAGCCUAAAAAGAGGUGUGGACAAGACCAAGGACCAAAGCUGAAAGGUGUGCAAGAUCCUGUCUGCGUGCCAGCCUGAGCAUAUUGCAAGAUGGAGACAUUUGCAACUUCGCAUGCUGCACCAUGGAUGGAAUAUCUUCUUGUUGGGAGUGUGUAUCUUUGGGAUCCUACUAUCGAUGGGGCAUCACAGACAAGAUUACCAAAAGCACUGCUGUUCGCUACUGCAUUCACCUCCACCUUGGAGCUGCAGCCAGGCCUCCCCAGCCAGCUCUUUCUCUUGAGCUUCACAAGCAGAAGACAAGCCCAGGCAGGCCAUCUCCACCAGCUGCUGUGCUUCAGCAAGGCAGCUCAAGCUGAGGCAUGUUUCAGCAGCUCUUCUGAGCUUCUCCUGUACCCGAGUCAUGGAUGCAUCAAGUGCUUCAGUUUACAGGGCCAUCAGCCUGGCAGCUUUCCUUGGCACUAAAUUUACUUUUUAAAGUUACAUCAGUGUUGCACCCAGAGGGAAUGGAGGAACAGAUGCAGCCUGUGAAGUCUGGCUUUAAUUCACCUGCCUCAUUUAAUUUCCUGCCCUGCCUUCUAAUCAAUGAGUCUGCACUAGCGGCCCUGGGAAUGCAGAGGUUUUUUCAUAUACGGGAGAAUUCAACGCAGCGGCUGUGCUGGCUGAGCUCUUAGGGUCUCGAGCAGGCUGUGUCACGUCUCCUUUGAGGCUGCUUCAUUAUGGAUUUCCCUCCCCCAGAAGCAUUUGCACACACUCUCCAAUCCACGGCAGCUGCACCACAUUUCCUUGCAGGAGCUGGUUGGCACUGGGCAGCUGUGCCAUGUUAGCCUCUCUUAGUCAAGGCUGGCUGUGCAGCAUUCCCUUCUGGAAGUGCUCUCCUUCCAGGUGUUCCUGGUUUUCAGCCACAUGGCUUUCUUUUCAGGGCCACAUGCUGCUUUCUGGGGCUCUGACCCCACAGUGGCUCUGCUGUGCUACCUCAGACAGGCUGCUGAGGCCAAAUGUGCCUCAUUACCUCCAAGGGAUCCCAGCAACAUCAUGGGACCAGUGGUACUUCGCAGGGGCUCCUUUCUGGAGGCAGCUGUGCCGAUGCUCCCUCACAGGGCCUUCAGGCCAGGCCAUUGUGCUGUAUUGGCCUUGUGGUGUGUCACUUCCCAGGUGUUCCUUCAUCGAGGACAGUAGCACCAUGUCACCUCAAAGGUGCUUUCAGGACUACGUUGCCUCAGACACUCAGGGCUAUCAGAAAGCUCCGAUGAAAGGGUUUCUGGCAUUUUUGCUUUGGUUAAGCAGACUCCCACUGUCCUGUUUUUUUUUGAGCUCAUGUUAAUUCCAGGCAGUGCUGCCCAGUUGCUUAAUCAGCUAGUGUCAAAACCCUGGGAGACAGGAAGGCUGUGGUUGGUAGCACCUAUUUUGUGAUGUUGCUGCUUUACCUCACAUAUUAUAAUCUGUAUCAGAUUGCUCUUUGCCUGCUAAAAUGGACAAUUAGGAUCCAGUUGUAAUGCAAAUUGCAUGGUGGAAUAAAAACCACGGGGAACAAAAUCACAAAUAAGUGUUUAUGUCAGCCUUUGUUACUGUGUGAUGGGUCCCACUCAGUUACUGCUCCGCUGUGAAGCAUCAGACAGAAGAGAACCUGGUGUGCCUUUGUGUUUUAUAGGCACGAGAGGCUCUGUGUAAGACUGCCUUUAGGCACUCGCGGCCCUGAUAAUGUGUAUGUAUGCAAACCUAACAGACAGAUUGCCGCCUACACUGGAAAUUUGAUGAUUGCCUUGUUUUUUCAAGGCUCUGCUUUAUACACUGCAGGCCAAACCCAUGGGGUAAUUUCCAGUCUCUCUGCACAGGGCUGAGAUGACGUGGUGAGAGAAGCGUAGAGAUGCUGAAAUUUCAAUCUGCCACAUAAUGUGCUCCUAAUACUGAUAGCCUUGUAAGUGUGGUGUUGUCAUUGGUGUCCUCGUGGUUGUUCUUGUCAUUGUUGUUUUCCCAUGCUUGCUGUUAAAUGUUGUAAAUUAAGAGAAA